GGAUGUGCUGGCGAUCUGGCUGAGACAUCUGUCACCCCAUUGAUGGCCAGGGUUGAUUCUGCUGAUCUGGCUGGCUAGGCGGGUGUUCCCUUCUUUCUUCACUGCUCCAUGUGUGUCCCUCAGGAAGUUGCACGCUCCGUUGAAUAGAGGAGGACCAGUCUCCAGGCAAGGGUAUCCGACGAGCUGCGCUCCCCUGCUGGAACCUCCAAAUACUCAUCAGGUUCUUGGAAUAUGUUGCUAUUAUUCCAGGUGCCGGAAAUAAAAUGGCGAGUUAAAGAGCCCAAUCCUCGCUCUCU
RNAcentral lists this small nuclear RNA (296 nucleotides) under Microtus ochrogaster (prairie vole). RNAcentral describes it as "7SK RNA (ENSMOCG00000005887.1)". It matches the Rfam family "7SK RNA". Rfam says of the family: 7SK was discovered as an abundant small nuclear RNA in the mid-70s but a possible function has only recently been suggested. Two independent studies have found that 7SK RNA binds the CDK9/cyclin T complex (known as elongation factor P-TEFb). P-TEFb activates transcription by phosphorylating the C-terminal domain of RNA polymerase II. Lineage: Eukaryota; Metazoa; Chordata; Mammalia; Rodentia; Cricetidae. The record is from RNAcentral.